RNAcentral lists this unclassified non-coding RNA (433 nucleotides) under soil metagenome. RNAcentral describes it as "partial contains 5.8S ribosomal RNA, internal transcribed spacer 2, and large subunit ribosomal RNA". The stretch from base 1 to 120 matches the Rfam family "5.8S ribosomal RNA", at positions 35 to 154 of the family's 154-position model. The record is from RNAcentral.
GAUGAAGAACGUAGCGAAAUGCGAUACGUAAUGUGAAUUGCAGAAUUCAGUGAAUCAUCGAAUCUUUGAACGCAUAUUGCGCUCUCUGGUAUUCCGGAGAGCAUGCUUGUUUGAGUAUCAGUAAACACCUCAACUUCCAUAUCUUUUUUGAAAUGGGAGUUGGACUUGAGUGAUCCCAACGCUUUUCCUCACCGAAAAGUGGCGGGUUACUUGAAAUGCAGGUGCAGCUGGACUUUUCUCUGAGCUAUAAGCAUAUCUAUUUAGUCUGCCUAAAAAACAGAUGAUUACCUUUGCUGCAGCUAACAUAAAGGAGAUUAGUUCUUGUGCUGACUGAUGCAGGAUUCACAAAGACAGGCUUCGGCCGACUUUGUAAACUCGAUCUCAAAUCAAGUAAGACUACCCGCUGAACUUAAGCAUAUCAAUAAGCGGAGGA